This 700-nucleotide ribosomal RNA is filed under the name uncultured bacterium. RNAcentral describes it as "bacterial SSU rRNA". It matches the Rfam family "Bacterial small subunit ribosomal RNA", at positions 94 to 828 of the family's 1533-position model. The record is from RNAcentral.
AGUGGCGGACGGGUGAGUAACGCGUAAGAAUCUAACUUCAGGACGGGGACAACAGUUGGAAACGACUGCUAAUACCCGAUGUGCCGCAAGGUGAAACCUAAUUGGCCUGGAGAAGAGCUUGCGUCUGAUUAGCUAGUUGGUGGGGUAAAGGCCUACCAAGGCGACGAUCAGUAGCUGGUCUGAGAGGAUGAGCAGCCACACUGGGACUGAGACACGGCCCAGACUCCUACGGGAGGCAGCAGUGGGGAAUUUUCCGCAAUGGGCGAAAGCCUGACGGAGCAACGCCGCGUGAGGGAGGAAGGUCUUUGGAUUGUAAACCUCUUUUCUCAAGGAAGAAGUUCUGACGGUACUUGAGGAAUCAGCCUCGGCUAACUCCGUGCCAGCAGCCGCGGUAAUACGGGGGAGACAAGCGUUAUCCGGAAUUAUUGGGCGUAAAGCGUCCGCAGGUGGUCAGCCAAGUCUGCCGUCAAAUCAGGUUGCUUAACGACCUAAAGGCGGUGGAAACUGGCAGACUAGAGAGCAGUAGGGGUAGCAGGAAUUCCCAGUGUAGCGGUGAAAUGCGUAGAGAUUGGGAAGAACAUCGGUGGCGAAAGCGUGCUACUGGGCUGUAUCUGACACUCAGGGACGAAAGCUAGGGGAGCGAAAGGGAUUAGAUACCCCUGUAGUCCUAGCCGUAAACGAUGGAUACUAGGCGUGGCUU